This 253-nucleotide ribosomal RNA is filed under the name uncultured prokaryote. RNAcentral's name for it is "partial 16S ribosomal RNA". It matches the Rfam family "Bacterial small subunit ribosomal RNA", at positions 524 to 776 of the family's 1533-position model. The record is from RNAcentral.
UACGUAGGGGGCAAGCGUUGUCCGGAAUUAUUGGGCGUAAAGCGCGCGCAGGCGGUCUCUUAAGUCUGAUGUGAAAUCUCGCAGCUUAACUGUGAGCGGUCAUUGGAAACUGAGGGACUUGAGGACAGGUGAGGAGAGUGGAAUUCCGAGUGUAGAGGUGAAAUUCGUAGAUAUUCGGAAGAACACCAGUGGCGAAGGCGGCUCACUGGCCCGUUACCGACGCUCAGGCGCGACAGCGUGGGGAGCAAACAGG